CUCUGCAAAAUGCAACUACAAUGUUAAGAUUAAAGAUAAAAUAAACAUGCAAAUUCAACAUAAAAGAACAUUCACAAGUGAAGUUUUCUCCCCAAGACUCAAAUAAGGCAACAUAAGUUUAAAUAAACAUAUGAAAUGAAGAAAACUAGGAUCUUAAUCUCUUAAGAAGACUCAGCUUCCUAAAUGACUUAACUAGUCCUAAUUAAUCAUACACAUUACAGCCGGCAAAAUGUCCUGUAUCAUUCCAGUAUAUUAGACAAUAGAAGCAAUUGGAAGCUGAAAUAUGCCGUACCAAAUCAAAAGCACUCUACUGCUGCUGGUUCUGCUGCUGGUUUUGAGGGUUUGGAGGAGGUGGCAUCCCAGGACGUGGUGGACCGAAAACAGGAACAGCACCAGGGGGAGGCGGCAUUCCAGGGCGUGGGGGUGGUGGAGCAGGCAUUCCAGGGCGUGGUGGUGGUGGACCAGGAGGUCCUCUCAUCAUUGAUCCCGGAGGUGGAACCAUUGGCCUCUGACCAUAUUGUGGUGGUGGGACAGGGAAUUGUUGAGGUGGCCUUACUCCAAAAGCAGGUGGUGGUACCUGUGGAGGAGGACCACGUUGCAUCUGAGGAGCCUGUGGUUGACCAGGGUAACCACCAGGUGGCAUUUGUCCAGGUGGACGGAUAACAGGAGGUGCUCCACUAGCAGCAGGGUAAGUCAUAGGCGGAGCUGACAGUUGCGGAACCGGCGGCCGUGAAAUCUGGGGCUGCAUCAUCCCAGGAGCCG
RNAcentral lists this long non-coding RNA (762 nucleotides) under Gossypium raimondii (Peruvian cotton). RNAcentral describes it as "long non-coding RNA (GRAI_LNC008778)". Lineage: Eukaryota; Viridiplantae; Streptophyta; Magnoliopsida; Malvales; Malvaceae. The record is from RNAcentral.